This 253-nucleotide ribosomal RNA is filed under the name uncultured bacterium. Its description in RNAcentral is "partial 16S ribosomal RNA". It matches the Rfam family "Bacterial small subunit ribosomal RNA", at positions 524 to 776 of the family's 1533-position model. The record is from RNAcentral.
UACAGGGGGUGCUAGCGUUGUUCGGAAUUACUGGGCGUAAAGGGCGCGUAGGCGGCUCAACAAGUCUGUUGUGAAAUCUCGGGGCUUAACUCCGAACGUGCAGUGGAAACUGUUGGGCUAGAGUGCAGUAGAGGUUGGUGGAAUUCCCAGUGUAGAGGUGAAAUUCGUAGAUAUUGGGAGGAACACCGGUGGCGAAGGCGGCCAACUGGGCUGUAACUGACGCUGAGGCGCGAAAGCGUGGGGAUCAAACAGG